This 205-nucleotide ribosomal RNA is filed under the name uncultured Enterobacter sp. Its description in RNAcentral is "partial 16S ribosomal RNA". It matches the Rfam family "Bacterial small subunit ribosomal RNA", at positions 326 to 523 of the family's 1533-position model. The record is from RNAcentral. Lineage: Bacteria; Pseudomonadati; Pseudomonadota; Gammaproteobacteria; Enterobacterales; Enterobacteriaceae.
CCUCUAGAGAUUCCUACGGGAGGCAGCAGUGGGGAAUAUUGCACAAUGGGCGCAAGCCUGAUGCAGCCAUGCUGCGUGUAUGAAGAAGGCCUUCGGGUUGUAAAGUACUUUCAGCGGGGAGGAAGGUGUUGUGGUUAAUAACCGCAGCAAUUGACGUUACCCGCAGAAGAAGCACCGGCUAACUCCGUGCCAGCAGCCGCGGUAA